GUCCACUCCAUUUCAUUUCAUGAAUUCUUAAAUCUCCAAUUUCUCCCAUGACAUUCAACUUUCGCUCCUACUUCAAAUCUCACCAUCCUCAAACCCUAGCUUCCCUCAAGUCUAUUCUCAAUUCCCUCUUCACUCUCCUAUCUAAAUUCAAUCCCAUGGCCGCAAAUCAAAACUCAGUUCAUCCUUCCGAUGAUCCUCCGCCGUUUGAUCCAUCAGAACCUUCGAUUCCCGUAUCAUAUCCACUCAAAACACUGGAAGAACUUGAGUCGAGAUCCUAUUUCGAUUCUUUUCACUUCCCCUUCAGUAAGGCCUCUGUGAAGUUGCCGCCUUACGCCGCCAAUGAACUACCGAACCGGCGUAGGCUUCUGGUGUGUCACGAUAUGGCUGGAGGAUACCUUGACGAUAAAUGGAUACAAGGAGGGAAUAAUCCUGAUGCUUAUGCAAUAUGGCAUUGGUAUUUAAUUGAUGUAUUCGUCUAUUUUUCUCAUUCAUUGGUUACUCUACCGCCUCCUUGUUGGAUUAACACUGCUCACAAG
RNAcentral lists this unclassified non-coding RNA (536 nucleotides) under Hevea brasiliensis (rubber tree). Lineage: Eukaryota; Viridiplantae; Streptophyta; Magnoliopsida; Malpighiales; Euphorbiaceae. The record is from RNAcentral.